Molecule: ribosomal RNA, 531 nt
Filed under: Chromobacterium aquaticum
Lineage: Bacteria; Pseudomonadati; Pseudomonadota; Betaproteobacteria; Neisseriales; Chromobacteriaceae
Description: bacterial SSU rRNA
Rfam family: Bacterial small subunit ribosomal RNA
Source: RNAcentral
GAAUGUACCGUGUAAUGGGGGAUAGCUCGGCGAAAGCCGGAUUAAUACCGCAUACGCCCUGAGGGGGAAAGUGGGGGACCGUAAGGCCUCACGUUAUACGAGCAGCCGAUGUCUGAUUAGCUAGUUGGUGAGGUAAAGGCUCACCAAGGCGUCGAUCAGUAGCGGGUCUGAGAGGAUGAUCCGCCACACUGGGACUGAGACACGGCCCAGACUCCUACGGGAGGCAGCAGUGGGGAAUUUUGGACAAUGGGCGCAAGCCUGAUCCAGCCAUGCCGCGUGUCUGAAGAAGGCCUUCGGGUUGUAAAGGACUUUUGUCCGGGAGCAAAUCCUAGUGGUUAAUAACCGCUGGGUCUGAGAGUACCGGAAGAAUAAGCACCGGCUAACUACGUGCCAGCAGCCGCGGUAAUACGUAGGGUGCAAGCGUUAAUCGGAAUUACUGGGCGUAAAGCGUGCGCAGGCGGUUGUGCAAGUCUGAUGUGAAAGCCCCGGGCUUAACCUGGGAACGGCAUUGGAGACUGCACGACUAGAGUG